UAUAUUUUUAACAGCCGCGGUACUCUGACCGUGCAAAGGUAGCAUAAUCAUUUGCCUUAUAAUUGAAGGCUAGUAUGAAUGGUUUGACGAGAAUUAAGCUGUCUCUUUUCAAUUAAAUAUAAUUUUAUUAACAGGUGAAGAAGCCUGUGUGUUAUUGAAAGACAAGAAGACCCUAUCGAGCUUUAAGAAAUUCAAUAGAUUUAUUAUAUAUUUAUAUAAAUAUAAAACUAUUGAAAACUUUGGUUGGGGCGACUGAGGAACAAAAAAAGCUUCCUUUAUAUCUUUAGAACCUACAAGUAUUGAUCCAAUAAAUUUGAUUAAAGGAAUUAGUUACCGUAGGGAUAACAGCAUAAUCUUCUUUGAGAGUUCUUAUCGAAAAGGAGGUUUGUGACCUCGAUGUUGGACCAGAAUACCCAGAAGAUGCAGCCGUCUUCAAUGGUUGGUCUGUUCGACCAUUAAAAUUCUACGUGAUCUGAGUUCAGACCGGCGUGAGCCAGGUCAGUUUCUAUCUUCAAUUUUUAUAGUAACCUUAGUACGAAAGGACCAGGCUAUUACAAGAACAAGUUGUUGAUUUAUGAUCAAAUAUAAAAAAUGAUUUAUUGUGUAGUUUAUAUCAAAUUAGCAAAGACUAAUGCAAUUGACUUAGGAUCAAUAGACAUAGGUGAAAUCCCUUUAUUUGAUAAAAUAAAGAUGGCAGAGAAA
RNAcentral lists this ribosomal RNA (702 nucleotides) under Indothais lacera. Its description in RNAcentral is "partial 16S ribosomal RNA". The stretch from base 1 to 537 matches the Rfam family "Bacterial large subunit ribosomal RNA", at positions 1917 to 2925 of the family's 2925-position model. The record is from RNAcentral. Lineage: Eukaryota; Metazoa; Mollusca; Gastropoda; Neogastropoda; Muricidae.